This 253-nucleotide ribosomal RNA is filed under the name uncultured bacterium. Its description in RNAcentral is "partial 16S ribosomal RNA". It matches the Rfam family "Bacterial small subunit ribosomal RNA", at positions 524 to 776 of the family's 1533-position model. The record is from RNAcentral.
GACAGAGGGUGCAAACGUUGUUCGGAAUUACUGGGCGUAAAGCGCGUGUAGGCGGCUUGGCAAGUCGGGUGUGAAAUCCCCAGGCUUAACCUGGGAACUGCAUCCGAUACUGGAUGGCUUGAAUCCGGGAGAGGGAUGCAGAAUUCCAGGUGUAGCGGUGAAAUGCGUAGAUAUCUGGAGGAAUACCGGUGGCGAAGGCGGCAUCCUGGACCGGCAUUGACGCUGAGGAGCGAAAGCUAGGGGAGCAAACGGG